AAGAACACUGGCGGCGUGCUUACACAUGCAGUCGAACGAGGUGAUUGAAAGCUUGCUUUUGAGAACCGAGUGGCAAACGGGUGAGUAACGCGUAGACAACCUGCCGCAAAGAUGGGGACAACAGUCCGAAAGGACUGCUAAUACCGAAUGUUGUCAAGUUUCCGCAUGGGAGCUUGAUUAAAGAUGGCCUCUACUUGUAAGCUAUCGCUUUGCGAUGGGUCUGCGUCUGAUUAGCUAGUUGGUGGGGUAACGGCCUACCAAGGCGACGAUCAGUAGCCGGUCUGAGAGGAUGAACGGCCACAUUGGAACUGAGACACGGUCCAGACUCCUACGGGAGGCAGCAGUGGGGAAUCUUCCGCAAUGGGCGAAAGCCUGACGGAGCAACGCCGCGUGAGUGAAGAAGGGUUUCGGCUCGUAAAGCUCAGUUGAUGGGGACGAAUGUGCGAAAUGCGAAUAGUUUUUCGCAAUGACGGUACCCGUCGAGGAAGCCACGGCUAACUACGUGCCAGCAGCCGCGGUAAU
Molecule: ribosomal RNA, 522 nt
Filed under: uncultured bacterium
Lineage: Bacteria
Description: bacterial SSU rRNA
Rfam family: Bacterial small subunit ribosomal RNA
Source: RNAcentral